GAAAGGCCCUUCGGGGGGUACUCGAGCGGCGAACGGGUGAGUAACACGUGAGCACCCUGCCCCUGACUCUGGGAUAAGCCCGGGAAACUGGGUCUAAUACCGGAUAUGACCACUGGUCGCAUGAUCGUGUGGUGGAAAGUUUUUCGGUUGGGGAUGGGCUCGCGGCCUAUCAGCUUGUUGGUGGGGUGAUGGCCUACCAAGGCGACGACGGGUAACCGGCCUGAGAGGGCGACCGGUCACACUGGGACUGAGACACGGCCCAGACUCCUACGGGAGGCAGCAGUGGGGAAUAUUGCGCAAUGGGCGGAAGCCUGACGCAGCGACGCCGCGUGAGGGAUGACGGCCUUCGGGUUGUAAACCUCUUUCAGCAGGGACGAAGCUAACGUGACGGUACCUGCAGAAGAA
Molecule: ribosomal RNA, 405 nt
Filed under: bacterium Ellin5096
Lineage: Bacteria; Bacillati; Actinomycetota; Actinomycetes; Streptosporangiales; Thermomonosporaceae
Description: bacterial SSU rRNA
Rfam family: Bacterial small subunit ribosomal RNA
Source: RNAcentral